Molecule: ribosomal RNA, 491 nt
Filed under: Scolecobasidium globale
Lineage: Eukaryota; Fungi; Ascomycota; Dothideomycetes; Venturiales; Sympoventuriaceae
Description: partial 28S rRNA
Rfam family: Eukaryotic large subunit ribosomal RNA
Source: RNAcentral
CGGCGAGUGAAGCGGCAACAGCUCAAAUUUGAAAUCUGGAGUCCGAUCGGGCUUCCGAGUUGUAAUUUGCAGAGGGAGCCUCGGAGGGCAGGUCGGUCCAAGUGCCUUGGAACAGGAUACCGCAGAGGGUGAGAGUCCCGUAUCCGGCCGGCGGUGCGCUCCGUGUGAGGCCUCUUCGACGAGUCGAGUUGUUUGGGAAUGCAGCUCCAAGCGGGUGGUAAAUUCCAUCUAAAGCUAAAUACUGGCCAGAGACCGAUAGCGAACAAGUAGAGUGAUCGAAAGAUGAAAAGCACUUUGAAAAGAGAGUCAAACAGUACGUGAAAUUGUUGAAAGGGAAGCGCAUGGGGGCAGACUUGGCCGCGGUGUUCAGGGUGCGUUCUCGCGCCUGCACUUCGCCGCGGACAGGCCAGCAUCGGUUCCGGGGGCUGGAGAAAGGCGCUGGGAAGGUGGCAGCCUUCGGGGUGUGUUAUAGCCCGGCGCGCAAUGCGGCC